GAUGAACGCUGGCGGCGUGCCUAAUACAUGCAAGUCGAGCGAACAGACGAGGAGCUUGCUCCUCUGACGUUAGCGGCGGACGGGUGAGUAACACGUGGAUAACCUACCUAUAAGACCGGGAUAACUUCGGGAAACCGGAGCUAAUACCGGAUAAUAUAUUGAACCGCAUGGUUCAAUAGUGAAAGACGGUUUUGCUGUCACUUAUAGAUGGAUCCGCGCCGCAUUAGCUAGUUGGUAAGGUAACGGCUUACCAAGGCAACGAUGCGUAGCCGACCUGAGAGGGUGAUCGGCCACACGGGAGCUGAGACACGGUCCAGAGUCCUACGGGAGGCAGCAGAAGGGAAUCGUCCGCAAUGGGCGAAAGCCUGACGGAGCAACGGCGAGUGAGUGAUGAAGGUCUUCGGAUCGGAAAACUCUGUUAUGAGGGAAGAACAAAUGUGUAAGUAACUAUGCACGUCGUGACGGUACCGAAUCAGAAAGCCACGGCUAACUACGUG
RNAcentral lists this ribosomal RNA (497 nucleotides) under uncultured bacterium. RNAcentral describes it as "partial 16S ribosomal RNA". It matches the Rfam family "Bacterial small subunit ribosomal RNA", at positions 28 to 507 of the family's 1533-position model. The record is from RNAcentral.